This 301-nucleotide ribosomal RNA is filed under the name uncultured bacterium. RNAcentral describes it as "partial 16S ribosomal RNA". It matches the Rfam family "Bacterial small subunit ribosomal RNA", at positions 509 to 807 of the family's 1533-position model. The record is from RNAcentral.
CAGUCGCCGCGGGAAUACGUAGGUGGCAAGCGUUGUCCGGAAUUAUUGGGCGUAAAGGGCCCGCAGGCGGUUUCUUAAGUCUGAUGUGAAAGCCCCCGGCUCAACCGGGGAGGGUCAUUGGAAACUGGGAAACUUGAGUGCAGAAGAGGAGAGUGGAAUUCCACGUGUAGCGGUGAAAUGCGUAGAGAUGUGGAGGAACACCAGUGGCGAAGGCGACUCUCUGGUCUGUAACUGACGCUGAGGAGCGAAAGCGUGGGGAGCGAACAGGAUUAGAUACCCGCGUAGUCCCUGUCUCUUAUAC